This is a long non-coding RNA of Dermochelys coriacea (leatherback sea turtle), 3914 nucleotides long. RefSeq lists it as uncharacterized. NCBI's taxonomy places the organism in Eukaryota, Metazoa, Chordata, Testudines, Dermochelyidae. The record is from RefSeq and is a predicted model, not a curated record. The transcript has 5 exons.
GGGAGCAGUCCCUGGGAAACGGUGCUCAAGUAGGAGCCUAUACUCCAGCUAGGCAGAGCUGAGUGUGCCAGGCAGGACAGACGCCUACAAAGCUGCAGCUGGCCUGAGAAAGCAGCUGUAGGGAGACGGUUGCCUUUAUCCAUUUUAGGAGGUCUCUGAAUAUAAAAAACAAGAACGAUACUAAUGUGAUCAUUACCUUUGAUGUACUCCAUUAGCUUCUCUCUGUUCAGCUUCCAUGCUGCACCACAGCAUUGUUUGAAAGAGCCGCACGCUAUACUUGGUGGAGACCCCAUCACCACCCGAACACCAUUGUGGAUACCUCUGAGGACCCAUCACCACCCGAACACCAUUGUGGAUACCUCUGAGGACCAUGAGCCACAGGCCCCUGGCAUGAGGAGAAGGUGAAGGAGGAAAAAGAGAAGGAUGGGGGACAUGCAACUGGUGUGAUGGCAAUGAAAACUCGUGUGUGUCUCUGCAUCUCUGAAGCCUUGAGGGGUGAGCUCCCCCUUCAUACUCUUGGAAUACCUUAGCCAGAUACAGAGGAGAAAGAAAAGACCUGGGAUGAUUUGCUCAAUGAGAUCCUGCAAACCUCUGCUGCAUCAAGCUAUAAGCAAAUGUCCAAAUGGCAAAUGUUGAAGGCAGCCUGGAGAAGGGACUUUCUCCUGUCCACUCUUUCCAGCAGAAAAAAGAAAGGGAUGCACCAGGAUGUAAUGUGGCUUCUCUGGCAGCAAACACAGAUGCUGCAGGCUCUUAUGGACAUAUAGGUUCAACAAUCCAGGGCUCACUUCUCUUUGAAGUCCAUGGAGCACUCCAUUACAGAACCUCCUUAUACCAGCCCCAUCAACAUCCCAUGUGGCUGCCUCCUUACCCCUAGUACUCCACCCCAGGGGAAAUUAAGACAACCACAGCUUCACAUACGGAAACUGCAGUUUUCACAGGUCAGCGUAUCAGAGACUAACUGCUGCUACUCUGAAACCUGCUGCUACUCUGACACCUAAUGAAGUAACCUGAGUGAUUAACUGGAAUUUUUUGGAUCCAAGAGAACGGAAUGAAGUUUUCUCCAAGAACUGGAUCAGGUGUUCUGGAUAUACUGAGUAGAAAAAGGUCUUGGAGAGAAUCUCAACAAACCCCAGAACUAGAAGGCCUAGAGGUGGAGGUCUCUACUGCUUAUACUAGGGAGAAGGGGAAAAUCUAGCUCUUAUCUUAAUUUGCAUGAAUUACGAUGUUUACCCCUAAUUCCACCCACUGAGUUGUGUUGCUUUGGUUGGAAUUUGUCUUUGAUGUUUAUAAUUGUACCCAUCAAACAUAUUAGCUGUAGUUAUUUAUUCAUGGAAAGGCAUAGGAAUUGUGCAGGAUAUGCCCUGGUGAGGGGUGACCCUGACAUUGCAAGAAACUGACUCUGGUUGGGUAAUGAAGCUCAGUUCUCAGCAGAAAAAGGGGAGAGAGACCACCUUGCAGAGUGAACCUGGACUUUAUUUUUGACAUCUGGCAAAAGGGUUCCACUAGUCUAGAUUGGAUUUGAACUGCCAUCUUGGGGCAAAAGUCUCUGUACUCUAUUCCAUUACCAAUUCCUUGUGCCAAGAAAUCCUCUACCUUUUGAAAUUAUUGUAACUUUAAAAACUGAUUGAGGUUUUUUUUUUAUAUGGAAAGAAGAAUGAAAAGUUCACAGCGUGCUCAGACUGUUUGCACUGAAAAAACCUCUUUAAUUCCCUAUCAGUAUUUUAGAAAAAGUGAAAGGCCAGUGUACUUUCUCACACACUGCUGACUCUGCCAUUUUUCAUGCUUUGUUCAAGAGCAAACAUCCUGCCUUGCACACUGGGGCAAGGAUCAAAGGCCACAGAAUAUACAAUUUCAGUUGUAGUUUAUCUAAGAAUUAUCUAUCACUUGGCUAUCUGUCCACAGUUUUGUAACUGAAUUGUUCAUAACUGGCCUCCGCUCUUUGUGUUCAAAGUGAUGGUGUAAUUAUAGUACUGGGCAAAACUAUGCCAUUUCAUAGUGGGCAGAUAUAUUUUUUCAUAGUUUCUCAUAGGUCAGAAAUGCCUAAAUAAUGCUUAUUUGCUAUUUAAGUUUUUUUUUUAACUUGUUUAAAAUUUGUUGUCACUAAAUUUUCAGAAGUGAAUGGGAUGUUAGUUACUCAAUAUUACUUGUACUUUUCUAAUUCCCCUUGUUGUAUGGUAAAUGUUUGCACUAAUAUGUACUGUUAAGAUUAAUCUGACAAAUAGAAAAUACUAUUUUUGGAAUUAUUUUCUAAUGAUGCACUAUAGUUUGCUCAAUCACCAUCUUCCUUAAUUUUUAGGUUUUUUACUCCAUCCUAGGAAUGGUUUUAAUGGGCAAUAUUGGUUUUGUAGUACAAGACAAGGACAUCUACUAAACCUAGUAAUGGAUUUAUGCCUUCAUCCAGCUCCCAUUGAAUCUGAAAAGAGUUCUUCCAUUGAUUUAGCUGGGCACUAGAUUAGAGCCCUUCGAAAAGGCCACAAUGUGUAGUAUAGAAGGCUAAUAAUACAAUACUGACAUAGGUGAUUCAGGUAGCUAUGCCUAUAGUUAAGGUUGCCCAACAUUUCCAUUAUAAGUCCCUGUUUUCAGUUGCUUAGAACUACCGGAUUUAAAGCAUUCAGACUAAUAGAUUUACUGGAGCUGCAAUAACUUGUAAACCAUUUUUACUAGUUUCCUUCCUUCGAGCACACUAUUGCCUGUUUCUAAGCAUUGCCCUCAGCUAAUAUCUUCAGUAUCACUUUUCAGUGCAGUCUGGGAAUUCAGGUGCAGGAGAGGCUCGGCUUGUAAUAUCUGCAGAGACUGAGUAUAAUACAAGUAAUUCUCAUUCUUGACUGGCAGCUUAGAAUGAGAAUUAAAAACAAAACAGGAAACCAUUAAAACUAUCAUAAAACAUAUGGUUUAAUCUUAUAUAAUUGAAACUAUCAACCUAAUCUCCUCUUUCACCUUGGAGUUCAAAUGACAAAUGUCUGCCUCUUAAAACAAAUGAGUUUUCUUCCAUUUCCUUGAAUUGUCAGUAGGGAAAUACAUUCCCUGGGUGAAUGCAGCCUUUGAAGACAUGACUCAGAACAGUUUUCUGCUUUACUGUGAUGCUGUGGCACUUUAAGGUUCUAAUCCUGCAAUGUGUGGAGCUCCCUCAAUUUCAACUGAAGUUAGGGUCAGACUCCAAGGGAGCCAGAUGGAGACACACAUGGUCCUGAAUCUUCUGUUGAUGCUUCUAGAGUAACUCCAUCAAAAUCAGUUUUACCUGGUUGUCACUUUGCUGGUGUAACUCAGAGAAUGGAGCCCUAUGUUUUUGGACGAGUAUUACUAAAUUAAAAAGAUGUUUUGAAAAAUCAUACAAUGUAUUGUUCUGUUCACUAAACAUGAUUUUUCUAGAUUUGGAGAAAGUUUCCGAAGCUGAAACCUCCUCUAUUCUUCUCUUUUUGAAAUGUUCUAAUAUCAUAGCAGAUAGCAUUCUAGGAAAGGUGUGGUCUAAAAUGCCCUCUCCUCUGCUGAGGUGCAUCAAAGACCAAUUACAAAGACUAUCUCAAAGGAGAUCACUGCUAAACCCAAUCACAAUCAAACAGUUAUUUUGAGCAGUCAAGUUCUGCUCCCAUGUAAUUAAAGGUCAGCAUAAAUUGUUAUUAGUUUAUUCUGGCAUCAUGUGAAACUGCUCAAGCUAUUUUGCAGUGACUGAAACUGAGGAUAGCCUUUAGCUUUAAAUGUUUAGGUUUAAACCUAAUGGAAUAAUUAGAUUUCCAUUACAAUCAAAAUGAAAUGCCAUACAAUAAAUGGCAAAAACCCAGAGGAUAAUAUUUGACCUUUAUUAUGACCUCCAUAUAAAUCCAUCACAUUUUUAUGUAUUCCUGGAGUCUCAAGGAAUGUACAUUACUGGAUGCAAUGUUAAAUUGAAAAUGUCUUCAAUAAAAUUAGUAAUUCCG